This is a long non-coding RNA of Heterocephalus glaber (naked mole-rat), 25925 nucleotides long. Lineage: Eukaryota; Metazoa; Chordata; Mammalia; Rodentia; Bathyergidae. The record is from Ensembl.
GGGCGGACGACGCGGCCCGGAGCGCGGACCUGAGAGCAGCGCUGGGUAACGGCCGCGGCCACCGUCCUGAAGGUGCCCAUGCUCCCGGCAGGCUUCCGCGUAGUCGCUCGCUGCGCGGCCGGAUGAGUGCGGCGGGUGCUGGACGCCAGGGCCGGGGGCAGAGGGCCCGCCGUGUUGAUGUUAUUGUUUGGCCGCCGCCGCCUUCUUCUCGGCCGUGACCCCUCCGGGUGGGGGCGGCGGGCCAGCGGGCCAGUGGGCGGGCGGGGGCGCAGGAACAAUAGCUGCCUGGGCGGGGGACGUAGGACCCCGGCUGCCGCCCCAGCGCCGCUCCCGCCCCAUUCAGGUCCCGCAUCCACGUCGCGAGUAGAAAAUGGAGCUGGCGGGUGGCAAGUUGGGAACACUUGGGCGAAGGUCGGGACCGCGCUCGCGUCGUCGGGUCCCCACGCCCGCCCGGCGCCCGCGGGGUCCUCGUCUAGCUCGCGGAAGCUCCUUUGUGUGGACGCGGGCGUCUACAACGCGAGGAGGAUGCGGUGCUCCGGCCUGGGCUGCGGGGACCGGACCCGGGUGCGGGGUGCGUGUCCCGCUCGCCGGGCUGCGGGGGCCGGCGCGCCUUUCUAGACUGGAAGUUACUGGGCCGCGACCUUUUGACUCUUUCAGCUCCCUGGGCUGUCUCUUUGUCUUGCAUUUGGGUUCCCCAUCCAGAAGUGGCAGAACCAAGACCAUUUCAAAGUACAGUUCUCUUUUCAUUUUCGAAAGUUCCCCAUCUUUACUGUAAAUUUAGUAAUCCGUUGACUACACAGCAUCGGACAGUCUCCAAUGGUUACUAUUUUUACCUCUGAAAUUCAGUGAUGUUCCCAGAAGAAUUCUGGCCUGUCAGCCCAUUGUUUUGAGAUAAACAUCCAGUGUAUACCUCCUUGGCAAUGAGAACAUCUGCUUAUUUCAUUCAUUCAUUCGGCAGCUGUUCAGUACUGUGUCCAAUCAGAGAAGUUUGAAGGUAAAGAGAAAUAUCCCUAAAUGGAAGAGGAUACUUUAACUGAAAUGUAAUAGAUGUGCCUUUAAAUAAGAUGAUUAUAUAAGGUGGGUGUCAGAGAAGGUAGAGUUAUAUACUCUGGCUCAUUUUACUGUUUUUUAGCAGUGUGUCUCGGAACUUCAGGAGCAAUUUUAUAUUAGUAAGUAGAGUUGGAUUUGGCCUAAAUGUACAGCAGCUUUUAUUUCCAAAUGUAUUUGUUCUGGUCUGGCAGUUACCUGUAUAGUUACUCAUAUUCCCCUGCUGGGCUUACCCUUAACCUUGGGAGGUCAGACGCUCUGAGUGAACAAGCUCUUGGAGGCACAAAAUAAGCAGUUGAGUUGGGAUUUCUUGAGGGCAGGCCUAGCUUGCAGCUCUGUUCCAGCCUGGAGUAUAGUAAGUGUUCAGAAGAAGGUGGAUUGAGGAAAAGCUCUUUAUAAUUGUGAAUACUUAAAAUUGAGCAUUUACAGAAAACUUAAUAUUCUCCUUGGAGUUUGGAUGCUUCAUGUAGACUGUCACUUCCAGAUGGCUGACUAAUCGGUUCGUAUAGUACAUUAUCUGUUGUGACAACAGGGCUUUUGAAUCACUUCAGUGUCAGUUUUCGUCCUGGCAUUUCUAGGCUAUUCCAAAGCAAAACCUUGUCUAAAUGUUUUUAGUAUGAUUAAUAAAGGAAUGUAUGUUAUGAGACGUGUGUUUUUAUGUGUAAUCAGUUGAGUAUCCUCAUGGUGAGAAUUCCAACUGCUCCAAAAUCUGAAUCACUUCUGGUCCUAAGCAUUUAGAAAAGUGAUACUCAACCUGUGUGUAUAUGUGCACGUACAGACUUGUAUGGUGGUACUGUAUAUCGUAUGACUGUUUUUAUUUUGUGAAUAUUAUUUGAAAGGUUUUUGAUGACUCCUUUGUUUUAACUAGUAAAGUAAAACAAAAGAAACAACCUGCAUAAAUGUUUUAUUAAAAACACUUAAUUUCUAAUUACAUUUUAGAAAUGCUUACUAGAAACGUUGUCAUGCGCUGUUACUGUUGGUAAAGUAUAUGGGCCUGAAAUUCAGUAAUACCUGUUUAUUCAAGUUGUAGCACUUUUCCAAUUCACUAUUUAGUAUGUGUUAGCAUUUGUUUUGGAUAUGAAGGAAUUUAAAGUGAACUUAUUUGAUCUAAGUAGAAAUGAAGAAAUAAAAUUAAUAUCCUUUUAACGUAAGUGUUAAAAAUCUUCAGACACCAAACUUUAAUUGCUUUACCUAGUUAAGGUAUGUUAGAUUUCAGUAAGGAUUACUGAUUUAAAAAAAACAAAACACCUUUUUGUGUAAGCUCACAGUUUAUGUUCAGAACCAGAGUUAAUGUUCUGUUUACUACAUAUUGUUGGUUUUUGAAAAUAACAGCUUUAUUGAGAUUUAUGUAUCAUUAAAUUCACCCUUGUGUUGUGUACAUUUCCUUGGUUUUAAAUAUUUUCAGAGUUGUACAUUGAUUACCACUGUCUAGUUCCAGAAUCUUGUCAUCACCCCAAGAAGAAACCCCAUGCCCAUUAGCAGUCACUCCACAUUCUAUUCUAAAUUAUGUUUUAAAGGAAAAGAGAAGAGUCUGUUAGGAAAUAUAUUUCUUGAAUGCGUUUGAAAAGGUCUCCCUUUAAGUAUCCUGGCACAAUGGAAAACUAUAUCUUUCAUAUUCCUUUAGGUCCUGAGGGAAAGGCCACUUGGAAAUUACUAUAAGGAUAAAUUGUAUUAAAAUUGAGGUUCAAAUUUUAACUAUUUGCUCUAUGCCUAAUAUGAAGAUUACCUUAAGAUACUGGUGCUCAGUGAAAUAAUUUACUUUGUUGUUAAAUAACUAGUCCAUAACUAUCCUAGUGGUAUUUAAGAGAUUGUUGAAUAGGAGCCUACUUCUAGUUGGUUGUUUUGGCAGUGAGUUGAGUUUUGACAUUUGAAUCAUCUACAUGAUUGAGAUGCUUUGUUGCACCUGUGGAAGCUCUCUUAAGUCUCUGGUCAAGACAGUGGUAUUGGGUAGUGGCCUUUCUGAUUCAUGUAGUGUAAGGAAGUCAUUAUAAGCAAAUAGCUUUAGAUGUGACUCAUUUGCCUGUUUCGUUGAACUGUGGUUAUUGUCUUAAUCAUGAGCUCUUUACCUGAAUGUUUUGGAAGCUUUACAUUCUUGCUCCAAUGCAAGUUACUUUUAACUUUGAUUUAAAAACUGAAUUCUGAUUCAAGAGAAUCUAUUAUCUAAAAGGUGACAUGAGUAUUGAAAUAAGAGUCAUUCUAUCAUUUAAGGCUAUAGUGGAACUAAAGCAGUCCAGGUAUCAGUCCUGGGUUCACUUUGGACUUUUAUCAUCAACAAGCUCUGGAGCCUUAGGCAAGUUGUUUAACCACUCUGAUUUUAGAACUGUAAAGAGAGGCUGUCAGAGCUCCUUGUUUUAUAGAAGGCUGUUCCCCAGUUAUGUGGUUCUUCACAGACUGUUUAUAAAGAGACCAUGUAGGGUGAUUAUCAUGAGCUCCAGUCAUUGACAGCAGUCAAAGAGCUGCUCAGUGGUAAAAUGUCUGCCUAACAUGUUCAAGCCCCUGGGCAGGAUCCCCUGCACUGCAGUGGGAUAGGGGUGGGGAUGACAAUCAAAAUUACCUUGUAUUUUCAGAAGCACAGAAAAUUGUUACUCUUUUUCUCUAAUAUCUCUGGACUUAUAAAACAAAAGCUUCACUAAUAAGCUAGAGGUUCUGUGAAUGGUAGAUUUUGAUCAUUAGGCACCGCGUCUUCUGAGACUCAGUGACAUUUUUUCAGAGACUGUGGAAAAUGUGAAAGUGAAGAGUUCAUUAGCCUCAAGCUUAUGAUCAAGGAUGCAACUUAAGGCAUAUCUAAACAUUAUUAUUGUCUUUUAAAAGAUGUGUAAGGGGGCUUCUCCCAAACAAAAAGCCCACUGUAAAUCUCUGAGCAGGCCAAAUUUCACUGAAAUGUGUUUUUUAAAAUUGUGUAUGCGUAAGGCCUUUCAGAGAAUUUAUUACCUGCCAUUAUUUUUCAAAGUAGCGUGUAAUAUUACAGAUAUAACUGGUAUUUGUGUUUCCUAUUUCCCUUUAGUAAGUAUUACAUCAGACUUGAUUAAAAUCUGCCAUUCUUUAGAAAGCUAGGGAACUCAAACCUACAGGUGCCUAGGAUGGGCUUUAGGGCUAGCCCUGAGCUCUAGUCCAUGCUCCACAUCUGAUUAUGAAACAUAAGCUUGUUCAGGUUAUAAAAUGUAUUUGACUUAUCUGUCAAAUGAGAUUGGUAAUAGCACAUCACCUUAUAAAGCUGUGAGGGUUAAACAAGGUACUGCAUGUGGAGUGCCUGGGACUGAUGUGCCUGGAUGGUAGAUGGAAGUAUUCAGGACAUUUUAGUUAUUGUUUUUGCAUAUUUUUAACUUGGAACAAAAUGCCCGGUAAAUUUAAAAUAAUUUUAAUAUGCAGUUUAUAUUCCAAUUCUUCAGAACACACCAGUUGUUUCCUUUACAUUUCUGGCAGGGGUCAGGGAGUUAUUAAAAUUUGAUCAUCUCAUCUAAUCUGAAUUGACUGAGGUUAUUUAUGUUAACAUUUGAACCCAGGAAUCCUCUCUGCCUUAAAAUUUGAAACUAUUUCAAAAACAUCCGUUGAAAGGAUGGUAUUUGCCACAUUCUCUGAUACAGCUUUAUUUCACCUUUUUUUUUUUUUACCCUUUCCCCCAGCAGAGAAUUGCCUAAGCAUUCCUAGGUUUGUUUUAAUAUCUAAAGGAAUGGGAAUUUAGGAGCUGAGAAUAGCUUUAUUAUGUAACCCAUUUGAAGAAAAUGGAAUGCUAUCAUAUCUUCUUCUCUUUUUUUUUCCUUUACUUUAUUUUUAUUUUUUGGUAAUGAGGAUUGAACCCAGGGCCUUGUGCUUGCUAGAUAGGGACUGUACCACUGAGUUACACCUUCGCCCGAUCGUAUCUUUUAAUUUUAAUUUUAUUGGGAUUUUGUCAUGGAACUGCCUUGUAGCCAUUAACAGUUCAUUAAGCAUUUUUUAGAAUUUCUAAGUUUUUGGUUAGUUUCUGUGGUACAUUUCUUGAUCCUUCUUGAGGAUAGGAACUAUGACAUGAUGACACUGAUUUUCAAAAUGUGCUGUAUAUUGAGAAACCACUCUGCCACUCCAGUUAGUGACAUGGGAAACUGACUUCUACACUGAAAUCUAAGUCAAUCUGUACCUUCAGUGAUCUGCUUAUAACUUUGAUAGGAAAUAAGGACAAAUGUAAAUGCACGAUUUCUAACAAGGAAGCAAAUAUUGUUAGUCAUUUCACUAGGAAUUUCUUUUGUCAUUGGGACAUUUGGGGAUUUCCAAAUCUUAGCAUCUCUUGCCUGGCUUUUAAAAAUAACACUUUGAUAGACUGCAGAAAGCAAGAUGUCUUUUCUAAACUUUGGUUGUCAUUGAGAGUGUAGCACAGAGGAGGCAGAGUAAAAGUAUGAGAAGUAAAUUAUAGCUACUCAGAUACCAAUUGGAGUCCUCAAACUUGUAUGUUGACUCUGAAAACUUAAGACUGGAUUUUUGCUGGGAGCACUUUCUUAUGUUUAAUCUUUGUCUAGUAAUGAGAAAUACAGGCUUCACUAGUUCACAUCUCCUGCUGAGAUGCCCCAGACUGUCACCCCCUCAUAUUUCUGAGGACACUGGACAAAAAACCAGCCACACACACCCCUGCUUUGGUUGGCAGGAGGCAUCAAAAAUAUUGGGAAAUUGCUAUUUGCUAAAAUUUUUUGAUGGGAUAGAAAGUCACCAUUCUCAGACUUGCUCCAGAGAGGGUGGCUCAUGACUCAGAUGCUACUUGGGUCAACCAAAGUUGAAAUGAAGGAAAGCUACUGCUAGAUCUCCUGGUGACUUGAGAGAGCAUCACUUUUUCAGUCACCAAACAAAACCCAAAGUACCUAGUAUUGUCCCAUCUACUACUGAGAAUUAAAAGAUUUAUUUACAUUUUAUUUUCAUUUUGACUAAGUACUGUAUUCACUUUGAUUCAGAGUUCCAAAGAUUGAAAAAGAGAUAAAGAAUCUCCUUUUCAUUCUGUACAGCCACCAGUUCCUCCACCAGGAAACAGUGUUUAGUGGGACUCCUUCCAGAGAUAGGUUAUAUUUGCAAAAGUAAUGCAGCUGUAUAAAUCUUUGUCCAAAACCCUUGAUCUAGAUGUAUUUCAGAAUAUUUUUUUUUGCAAUUGUAGCAAGAUAGUAUAGUGUAUCUACCAUAUUAACCAAAAUCCUUAAUGGGAAAUGGUAAUCAAAAACAAUGAUUCCCUAUUGAAAAUAUAAAUAGUACAUCAAGUGGGAUGGAUAGAGCUUAUAAAGCCCUUUUUGCCAGUUCCUGUCAAAUUUGGCUGCCAAAUAUGUUUGUACUAAACUUUUUUAAAAAACAUCUUCUAUUUUGAAUAGAUUUUGGUCUUGCCAGUCAGUAACUAUUCCUCACAUAUGUAGUGUGUAUUCUCUUCCCCCUUCCCCAAUCCAAGUUGUUGGAUACAAUGUACACUGCCCAUUGCCUUUAUUCUCAAUAUAGUUUAGAGAUUAUUUUCUGUUAUGUACUGUAAAAAGCAUGUUUCCUUCUCCCUCCACUUCUCUCUUUUUAAACCUCCUGGUAUUCUGUUUGUCAAUCAGUUUGGGCUGAUAUAACACAAUAUCAUGAAAUAGGUGGCUUAAACAAAAGAAAUGUCUUUCUCACACAAUUCAAGAAGCUGGGAAGCUCAAGACCAGGAUACUAAGCAGCUUGGUUACCUGGUGAGAGCCUCCUCUUCACUUGACCAGCUCAGUUCCCUAGUAGACCCCUGCCUUCUACCUGCAUCCUCAUGUGGUCACAGAGAGCUCUGGUGUCUUUGGACACUACUUUCAUUGUGGUCCCCACCUUUAUGAUCUCCUGGAAACCUUGUUACUUCCCACAGCCCACACCUCUGAAUACCAUCACAUUGGAUAUUAGGGCUUCAACAUAUGCAUGGGAGGGGCCACACAAAUGUUCAGUUCUUAGCACCAUUACACAAAUGUACCAUUUAAUUAAUCAGCUCCUUUUUAUGUACAUUUAGGUUGGUUUGAGUCUUGCUAUCAAAAGCUGUAGUGUAGUGGAUUACCUUGUGUAUGCAUCAUUUUAUGCUUACAUAGAAAUGUACAGGAUAAAUUUCUAGAGGUGUAAUUAUCAGGGCAGAGCAUAUGUGCAUUUGUAGUUUCGCCUUAUAUUGCUUAAGUGCAGCCUUUAGAGGUUGUCCAGGUUAUAUUCUCCCAGCACUAAGGACACUGCUUCUUUCCUGUUCACCAUUAUGAAUGAGAUAGAUAGAACAUUUUUCAAGAGUUAAUUGUAUUUUCUUUUUUUGUGAACUGUUGCUAUCCUUGCAUAUUUUUCUGUUGCUCAUUUUCUUAAAUUGUAUUUAUUUUUACAUGACAGAAAUUAAUUCCAUGCUAUUUCUGGAGAUUUUUUUUAAACCUAAUUUGCUGUUUGCCUUUCCUACCCCAAGAUGGUAUGAAUGAACCAAGUGUUAUUUAUUUAUUUAUUUAUAACAGGUGACUGUUGAGUUAUGUUCACGUUAUUUAAUAAACAAUCCAUGUUGGUCUUUUUAAAAAUACCACCUUUAUCAGUUACUGAAUUUUCAUGUGUAUUGUACCAUUUCUGUUCCAUUGACUCAUCUGUCUGUUUAGGAACCAAGCCACCCUGUUUUAAUUUUUUUUUUUUUUUGAGAUUUGAAGGAUUAUUUAACAUUAGCAUUUUAUAGAAUAUAAACUCAUUUCAAGAGCUGAGGAAGAGAUAGUGUUUUCAGCAAAUGGCACUAGAACACCUGGUAUCCGUCUAUAAAAAAUUAACCUCAACCGUUUUUUUUCCUUACAUGAAAAUAACUUGAAAGGAUCUAUGAACCUAAAUAUGAAAGCCUAAAAGUAUAAAACUUUAAGAAGAAAUUAUAAGGGAAAAUGUUUAUGAAUUCAGGGUAGGCAAGAACUACCUAGUAUACAAAAAACAUGAUGUAUAAAAGAAAAAAAUUGAUAAAUGAGAUUCCAUCAAAAUUUAGAACUUUAAAUGACAUCGUUAAAAUGAAAAGUAGUCCUUAAACAGACCAUAUUUACAAUGCAUAUAACCUAUGACCAGAAUAUAUAAAGAAUUCUUAGAGCUCAUUAAUAGACAACCUCAUUAAAAUGUAGACAUAAGAAGAUGAUAAAUAGCCAGUAUAGCACAAGGAAUAGUGUGCAACUCUAGAAUCAGAAAAAUACUAAUCAGUACAAUAAUAAGAUUGAAUUAUACACUCAUUAGGGAGAUGAAGUCAAAAGUUGUAAAAGCCUUGUCAUGACUUUUUCUUUUUUGUUGGAUUCUCCCCCUUUGCGUUUAAUUUGUCACGCCCAAUGGAUUCAUUCUGCUGGGUUUCCUGGGGUUGUGGUCCUCAUUGUCUUUUCCUAGGGUAUUGUCUAAAAUUUUUUGGAGUGCCAGUUUGAUAUUCAUGAAGUUCCUGAGGUGCUCUUUAUCAUGAAAGUAUCUUAUUUCUCCAUCAAUUUUGAAAGAUAGUUUUGCAGGGUACAUCAAUCUGGGUUGGAGGCUGUUUUCCUUUAGGGCUUGAAAUACAUCACUCCAAGCUCUUCUUGCCUUGAGGGUUUGCAUUGAGAAGUCUGCUGUGAUUCUUCUGGGCUUUCCUUUGUAUGUGAUUUGUUUCUUUUCUCUCACUGCUUGUAGAAUUUUGUUCUUCUGUUGGAUUUCUGGAAUCCUAACUAUUAUAUGCCUGUGUGUAGAUUUUUUUUUUGAUCAAGGCUAUUGGGAGUCCUAUAUGCCUCACUUAUCUGUAUGUCAAGAUCUUUUCCCCUCCUUGGGAAGUUUUCUGCCAUCACUUCUGUGAACAGUUUUUUAUGUCAUCUGCACUCUCUCCUCUUUCCUCAUUGACUCCAGUCAGCCUUAUGUUAUUCUUCUUUGCAUCAUCUAGCAGCUGCUGGAUUGAUUUCUCGUGUUCCUUUACAAUUUUAAAGCAAUUUUUCUUUUCCUGGUCACUAAUUACAAUCUUUUCAUCUAUAUCUGAAAUUCUAUCCUCACAUUGGUUCAUUCUGCUGUGAAGACUUUCGAUGGAGUUUUUAAUCUCCUAGAAAUCUGUUUGUAUCUGUUUUAUGGAUUCCAUUUGUUUCCUAUGUUGGGAUCCCAUCAUGUUCCUCAGAUCCUCUAUUUUUUUUAUCUGUGUCCUCUCUAGAUUUAUUAAUCAUGUCCUGCACCAUGAGCAAAAUCUUUGCUGUUAUCUGAGUAAUUAUUUCUGAUUUCAUUUUUUCCAGAUCCUCUUUUGUUGCCAGUUCAGAGAGUCCAGGUGGUUGAGUAUCAGAUUAUUCCACCUGGUUUCCCUUUGGGGUUGCUUUAGGUGAUCCAGAAGUCUGUUUUUGAGGCUUGUUUAUGUGUCUUCUCAUUUCCACGGGGGGGUGGGGGGGUGCUUCUGGUGGCUGUGUGGCUCACCUUCUCUGCCCUAGGAGCUUGGGAUGGCAGCAGGGGAGGUUCCUUCCCAGUGCUGGGACCCGCUUAGCUUCUCUGCCCUCUGAUUCGGUGUUUUCAGCAUGACUGGCGACCUCGGGACUGCGUCCACAGACCUACCUGUCUGCAGCGUGCUGAUUCGGUGUUUUCUGUGUGACUGGCCCUGUUUUAAUUAUAACACUUAUACUGUGCUUUCUGUUAGGACUAAUUCCCUUUGAUUUCUUUUACAGAUUUUUUUUUCCGUGUUUGUUUUGUAUGAACUUUUUGAAUCAGCCUGUCUAGUCCAUUCACCUCCUCUGCCAAUCUUUUUGUCAUUUCUGUUGAGAUCACUUGAUUUUUUCCAUUAUCAAAGUCAAAUUUACUUACAGUACACUGCACAAACAUUAUACUUGAACAACCUAGCAGAAGUUGGCAUAUAUAUAAAUACACUGGUGUAACUUUCAGGUCAAGAUACAGAACAUUUCCAUUACUGAGUUUCCCCAUAUCCUUUCAAGUUGGUAGUUUCUUCACUUGUCCCUGACUGUGUUUGACUUCAAUUAAUAGAUUCAGUUUGACAUUAGAACUUUUUAAUAUGAGAAUUUACAGGUUUAUGAUAUUGUGGAAAUCUUAACCUUUAUGUUUGUUGGAGUUUUUUGGGAGAGUCCCUAAGCAUUUUAAAGUUUUUUUCCUAUCAGUUUUCUAUGUUUAAAUUUUUUGUGUCACUCAUUUUUCUUGCUGUUGAAAAUAGCAUCUUUUUCAUUUUCUUAUUCUCUGUAUAUAAGAAAGCUGUUUAUUUUGUGUAUAGGUAAUAUUUUCUAUAUUAAAUUAUAAGCCCCCUUUUUAUUUUUUAGGUAUAAAUCAUGCUGACUUUUUUGUUUCCUUUGAAUUUUUACCUCCUCUCCCCAACUUUUAUACCCCUAUUUUUUCUUUUAGAUAUUGAUAGCAGUUAUUUAAGAAGUUUGCAGUUUUCUUUCAUAAUAUGUAAAACAAGAACUACAAUAUCUUAUCUAUAUAUUUAAGUAAGACAUGAGUAAUAAUGAAAUUGGGGUGAGAUUAUUGUUAUUAGAGAUUAAAAAUUGGGCAGGUAUAAGUAUUAGAGUAGUAUGAAAUUGUCUCUAAAGCUAAUGUAAAUAUAUUUUAAAUAAAUUCUUUUAAAUGGACAAGUUGGUGAUCAUUUGAUAUGGAAUGCAGAAUUACUAAUUCUUAAUUUUCUUGGGUCUUACUUGACACAUUUGGACUGCUUUCUGUAGCAGCAGAACCUAGAGACAGUUUCCAGAAAUGUAGCUUAAUUUGCUGCCAGGGAACAUACAGCCAAGUUAGAGGUCAAGAUCUGGAGCAGUGAGAAUUAAGUGUGUGAAAAAGAAGGUGUUAAUGCUUAGAAAAUGGUUUUUACAAGGCCAGGGAUUUAGCGCAGUGGUUCCGCUGCCUGCCUUGCAAGUGCAGGGUCCUGAGUUCGAUCCCCAGUACCAAAAAAAGAAAAAAGAAAAUGGUCUUGACAAAAAUAAGCAGGUCAGAAAGACAUGGAGAUGGAGGAGGGGAAGGGAGUGUGCCUUGGCCCUAGGUUUGCAGUAACUUAUCUUUAUGAAAUUAUGUGGUACUUGGUUGAAGAUACCUAGCUGUAAUUCAGUAGUGAUCUCACUUAUUAAUGGAGAGUACAUAGUUUAUUUUGUCUUUCCUCUUUCGAACCCUGCCCCCUAAAAAAAGCUGAAGCAGUUUACUAUUCAAGGACCCAUACAUUGUUGAGUAAGGUAGAAACAAAAAAUUAGAAUCCAGGGAAAACAGGAAUCUAGAAUAUCCUAAUAACAUAAUAAAUAUUCAGUGUUUAAUCAUACUCCAAGCACUGUUCUGAUGUUUUACAUGUGGUGUUUAAAUGCUCCAUGAUGAUCCUAGGAACCAUUAUUCCCAUUUUAUAGAUGAGGAAACAGGCACAAACAAAUUAUGUAAGAAGUUGUUGGUGAUCUUGAUGAACAGGUUUAUUAGAGUGGGAAGAAAGCCAAAUUGAAGUUGGUUAAAAAGCAGUGAAUGCGAUUUUUUUUUUUUUGGUCCUGGGAAUCAAACUCAGGACCUUGCACUUUCCAGGCAGGUGCGGUGCCACUAAGCUAAAUCCCCAGCCCCCUAAUGCAUUUUUUUUUAAAAGAGAAAGGAGCAAGUGCAGAUUGAUGGAUGUAGACAGUUUUUUCAAGAUAAUUUUGAAGUGGAUGGGUAAAGGAAAACAUGGGGUCCAAACAGUGAGAAAAGGAGAAUGUCCAGGAAAGACAUUACAGGGAAGAGACAGUUUGGCUCCUGUCUCUAAGACACAGUUUGAAGAGAAAUCCUUCCAGGGAAGUUUGGUGAUUAGAAAAUGGAAGUUUAGACUACUGCCUUUCAUCCCUUGUGGCUUCUGUUUUCUCAAUGAUACAGGAGAUUCACAUGCACAGAAAGGGAUGGGAGUAUGGGGAGUUUGAAGCAGUUUGCCAAGAGGUAUUGAUUGUUCACUUAAGGCAUGAAAUCUUGAAUUUAAAGUGGUAUCAGUCUGCAUUUGUGAUUGUUUCCAGCAUUAACUGAUUAGAUAUGAGUACAGAUAAGGCAGACAGUUGGAUUUAUCCAGAGUGAGGUUUGCCAGGGGUAUCAGUCAUCAUGGGCCAGAGAAACAGCCAGUAGGAGAUGUAGAUGGAUGGAUAGACUACCUGAGAUUUCAAGGAAUUGUGAGGAUUGCAAGUCUGAAAUCUGUGGAGCAGAUCGGCAGGAAACUCUUGGACCAAGCUAAUGCUGUGGUCUUGAGGCAGGAUAUUAUCUUCCUAUUGGAAACCUGUUUUCACUUUAAAGACUUUCAACUUCUUAAAUGAGGCCUGACCAUAUUAUCAUUAUCAAGGAUAAUCUUCUUUCUGUACUUAAAAUCAGCUCAUUAUAGAUAUUAACCACAUCUACAAAACAUCUUCAUAGGAUUACCUGGAUUUGUGUUCAAUAUAAUGACUGCAUACUGCAGUGUAGCCAAGUUGACACACAAAGCUAAACAUCACAUUAAGUCAGUUAAGAGAAGGAAAAGUGGACAAGGGAAAAAGAGAGCUUAAAGGGAAUGCUUAGAGAAGUAAUGCUGAAUUAUAACACCUAACAUUGGGCAGUAAAGGAGAUGAGGUGAGAAUGUUUAGUAUGAAUAUGGUAGCACCAAGGUAAUGGAGUUUUCAUUUAAAAUUACUGUAGGGGGCUGGAGGGUAAGUAAGUGAACCUGCAGGAUUGGAUGUCAUGAUCAAAAGGGGAUGCCUGAAAGAAAGGUUUCACAAGGGUAAUAGUUCCUGUCAUUGAUAAAACCCAGGAUGCUUUUGGGUGUGGACUGCUAAGGUGGAAAUGAAGGACAAAUCUGUGCAUGUGAGGAAGCCAAGGGAUUAGAGUGGGGUUAGGAUGUAGCUCAGGGUAGAUUACUUGCCUAACAUGAGUGAUGCCCUGUGUUUGAUCCCCUGGCACCCCACUUCCACCCCCCAAACACACAGAAGGAGGAAGGAAGGGAAGGAGACUAAUUAAAAGGGUCCAUCUACAUGAAAGAUGAAGUCAGAAAAUGGUGAUAAGAGUUAAGGAUGUAUUCAGUGAACCACUUGCUAAUGUCCUUGAAGAAUGAGGGACAAUUGAAGGAAGGAUAGAUGGCAAUAAGAAAACAUAAAUACAGUAUAAAUGGUUGUUUGCUUUUUAAAAAGUAGCAAUUUCAAAAGGCCAACUGAAGCAGUUAGGGAUGAGGAAUUGGGUAAAAUGGAGGGUGAAUAGAGCGUUACAGGAAUGGCAGUUAAGGGAGAGUUGAACUUUUUCCUAUAAUUGAAGUAAGCAGAAUUGAAGUGUAGUGGGAUUAGCCUCCAUGAUAGAUGAGAAUGGUUUUUGGUUCUAGUGUUAUUGGACUCUUCAAAUGAAAUUAAAUAGAAAAUCAGAGUGUAUCACAAGUAAUAAGGAACUAAGAAUUUUUUAAACAGUUUUGUUAUAAUUCGUAUACCAUUAGAGUUCACCCAUUUGAAGUAUACAAUUCAAGGGCUUUUCAGUACUGAACAUUCAUGUAGCCAUCACCACAGUUCAGCUUUAGAACAUAUUUGUCAACCCCCAGAAAUGCACCUCAUGCUCAUUAUCAGUCACUCUCCCCUUCCCCCACCUCAUUCCAAAGCAGCCACUUAAUCUUCUCUUCACCAUAGAGUUGCCUAUUUUGGAUAGUUUGUUAUAUAGUAUGUUAUCAUUUGUGACUGGCUUAUUGCACUUACUGUAAGCUUUUUGAGAUUCAUUCAUCAUGUAGUAUGUAUCAGUAGUCUGUUCCUUUUUAUUGCCUAAUAUUCCAUUAUUCAGGUAUUCCACACUUUAUUUAUCUACUGUUCAGUUGAUGGUCAUUUGGAUUGUUUCCACUUUUUGGGUAAAGUUAAUACUGUCAUAAACAUUCAUGCAUAAGUUUUUAUGUGUUGUAUUUUUUUUUUAACUUGGUUAUAUACUCAGGAGUGAAAUUACUGGGUCAUAUGGAUGACUCAAUGUUUAACAUUUUGAGGAACUACCAAGCUAUUUCUCAAAACUGGUGGUACCAUUUGACAUAACUGCCAGCAAGGUGCAAAGGUUCAAAUUUCUCUGCAUCCUACUCAAGCUUGUUAUUGUCUGUCUUGAAUAGUAUUGAUUUGCAUUUCCCCAAUAGGUAGUGAUGUUGAGUAUCUUCUCAUGUGUGCAUUGGCCAUUUGUAUAUCUUCCUGGGAGAAAUAUUUAUUCAGAUCCUUUGCCUAUGUAAAAAAAUUGUUAGUUUUACAUACAAAUACUUAGACAGAUCUGUGAUUGUAAGUAUUUUCUCUUGUUUUGGGGGUUGUCUUUUUACUUUCUUGAUGGCAUUGUUUAUAGCACAAAAGAUUUUAAUUUUAAUGAAAUCAAAUGUCUGUGUUUUUAAUCUAUUAAUCUAUUUUAUCUAUCUUUGAUGGUUCUUUUGGUAUCUUAUGUAAGAAACCAUUGUCCAGCUCAAAAGUCAUGACAAUUAGCCCUGUGUUUUCUUGCAAAUUUGUUUGAAUUCCUUUGUGUGUGUGUGAAUGUGAUAAAGGGGUCAAACUUCAUUCUUUUGCAUGUGGAUAUGCAGUUGUCCUAGCACCAUUUAUUGAAAAGUACCACUCUUAAUGGUCUUGGCAUUCUUAUUUGUUUUAAUGUUUAUUUCUAUUGACUCUUGGUUCUAUUUUUAUGUUAGCCUCAUUGCAUUGAGUACUGGACCUCAGAAGUUUUUUUUUUUUGGAAAUUGUUUCAAUUAAGUAUGAGUGUAUUUAGAGAUAGAUACACACAGAGGUGUGUAUAUGUAAUAAAUUGUAAAAUCUUGGAAAACUGACUUGAGAUAUGGUAGCCCCCUGAAACAGUUCAUUCUCUUAGCAGUGUAAUGGGAUGUCUUCCUCACAGGGAACCAAUAGAUAAGGCAGUUAAAAGGGCCUGCCUAUGGGUAUAUGAAUUCCUUUUGGAUUAGAUGACUGAUUUUUCUUACUUUAGUAGAUAAAAUUUUUUUCAGGUACAUGUGGACUAAAGAAGGGCUUAGAAACAGCUGUGAGAACUCCUGAACCAGCAAUAAGAGAGGAAUUUAUGUAAGCAUUGUGGAAUGUUGUAUAAUUUGAAGUUAGUGUUUUACACUGGGCCAGUCUUUUGUGAUUGUCUUUUAAAACCACACACACACAAAUUUUGUUUGAUGUAUUAAGCAUGUCUGUAUGAAAUGCCUUUAUUAUCUGGAUCCUCUAUAAGGUCUGAUUCUGUAGGUGCUUGUGUCCUGGUCUUGUGACGUGGAUGUUUUUUAUUAUGGCAUUAUAUAUGAAAAGUAUAUGGAGGUGUCAUUUAAUGUUUGAGAGCAUCUCCUUUUAGAGAGAAUUUUUGUUUACUUUUGGCAGAAAGCUAGCUAGUGGUACCAACAGUCCUGAAUCAUCGUAAUCCAGUCAGAGAGUAAGAUAUUUUAAAAUGAGGCUCUGGAAGUCUGUAAAGGCUGGCCUAUUUUGUGUUUUAUCCCUCCUAGAAUAUGACCCUUUGGAGUUCCAACAUAAAGCCAGGGGUAUUAGCCCAUUUCCCCACUCCCACACUUUCUUGGGGUCUUAAUGGCAGUAGUCAAUCUUCCCUACCCUUGUAAAUCUGUUGAAAGUUCAUCUCAUGCAGAUGAAAACAACACUGAGAUUCCACCUCACCCCAGAAAGAAUGGCUGCUAUAAAGAAAUCGACAAAUAACAAAUGCUGGCGGGUUGUGGGGAGAAAGGAACCCUUCUCCAUUGUUGGUGGGAGUGCAGACUGGUGCAACCACUGUGGAAGUCAGUGUGGAGAUACCUCAAAGAACUAGGACUAGAGGUCCCAUUUGACCCAGCUAUUCCCCUGCUGGGUAUCUUCCCAAAAGAAUGAAAAGAAUCAUACUACAACGAUAUAUGUGCAUCCAUGUUCAUAGCAGCACAGUUUGUAGUAGCUAAAGCUUGGAAGCAACCCAAGUGCCCAUCAACUGGAAACUGGAUAAAGAAAAUGUGGUUUUUUUAAUAAAAUGGAGUACUACUCAGCCUUAAAGAACGAAAAACUAGAGUCAUCUAUAGCUAAAUGGAUGUAUAUUGAGGCCAUACUCUUAAGUGAAAUAAAUAGGACACACGUGUAAAUACCGAAUAGUUUCACUAGUUUGAGAAACUGAUAGUGUAAACAGGGUUAAAAUGAUUAAAAUGAAUAAUUGAUAAUUUGAAAUAGGAAAAAAGGUCCAAAGAUGAAGGAGUGAAGGGAGGGGAAGGGAAAAGGAAAAGAGAGAAAGGGAAAACUAUGAGAAAAGAAAAAAAAUGGAAAUGAAAUCUGUGUAAAUAGGGAAGGGUGGAGGGGUGAAGGGUGCACAGGUAAUGGGGGGGAAAAAAAAAGAACCAAGAUAUAUCAUGUACAGGUACAAACACCCAAUGAUAAAUGUAAAUGAAUUGUAUACCUAAAAUGUACCAAUAAAAGAACUAAAAGAAAAAAAAAAUGAAAGUUCAUCUCUGCAGCUACCUUUCAGGCAUUGGCAGAUACCCCUAGAGCAAAAAUGGCUCCAGGUGCCAGGCUCACUGCUGAGGAUUUCCUUACAUUUCUGGAGCUUGGUGUCUAUGCUGUUUUUCUGCCUUGUUAGUUCUGUGAUGCCUUCAGAGAUGUUUUUAUUUUAUUUUUUUUUCCUAAUUUCUCCUGGGGCCUUGGGGUGGUGUCCAGUUUUCUAGUUGCUCUCAGUAAGAGAGUAGGUCUGAAUUACCUAGUUCAACUUUGUAAGGAAAGUAAUUUGUUAACUUUAUGUCCUAAGAUUCCCUAUUUGAAAUUCUAGUAUAUGGGGUUUUAGUUUUUCCUUGGUGUGAGAUUUUGUGUGCUGGUUUCUACACAUUGUAGCAGUUACCAGAAAAAGAGGAAAAUAGGAUUAGAAAUAGAGAAGGGAAGAAAAAGCAGAGAAAAGUAGGUAUUUUUGCAGAAUUCAGGAGAGAUAAAGGUAGGGCAACAUUUUUGUUUGUUGCUGAGAAAGGGCAGUCACAUAAAAGGAAGUGAUACUUGUAUUGGCAUGUUGUUACAGUUAAAAGGCUGUGCAGUGGUGGCGAACCUAUGGCACAAGUGUCAUAGUGGGCCAUUUGUUAUCAUUGAAAGCUCUAAAAGGUUUGCCAUCACUAUAGAAUCCAAGGUAUUAUGAAGGGGGUAUUGAGCAGUCAUGUUGGGUAAAAAUUUUAAAAUUGUUCCACAGAGAAACCUCACAAUAAACUUUGAGUUAUUUUUACUUAAUUUUUAAAAUAUUCAUUAGUAUAUGUUUGCAGUACAUAAUGAUUACUUUCAUCAUGGGGAGCUGGUACAAGUACAUAAUGCUACUCAGUUCUUUUUACCUCUCCUUCCCCUCUCCUCCUUCCCUACUCCCACCAUCUCUUGGUUCCCUUCCCUUUGCAAACAUCUGUCUCCAGUUUCCUAAAUGAGAGACUUAAUUUUGGGGCUAGACUAAUAAUUGUAUCUUACAGCACACCAUAUCUGCAGCAUAACCACUGGUAUAGUAAGGGGUUGAAGAGAGAAUUUAAUUCUAUAGAACCUGUUAGAUACAUAAUAUAUUACCAGUUUUGAUUUAGGGAUCAAUUACUACCUUCAUAUGUGUAUAUAAAUGGAUUUAAAGUUUUUAUGAGUUCGUUCAAGUUCUUGAUCUUCCAUUUCCAUAUUUCCUAAACUGAAAAAUUACAAAGUUCCUGACACUUCAACGAUUGGAUUUGAAGAGGAGAAACGGUAUUUCUUUUGCAGCCUCUUCGAUCUUCUCUUGAAAAACAAGAGCUAUCAGAGAUGUUCUAUUUCAGAUGAUUUUAUCAGCAGUGUCUUGGUUAAUAUUUUAAACUUAUGGAAUAUAAGAAUUGUAUCUUAAAUUGAUUAUCUUUUUUUCAUGUCUCCUAGAGUUUGUGCAGUGUAUGUGUUACAGGAGACUGAGUUACACCUGUCCACAGAAGCCAUUACUGUUUUGUAGUGCUUUACAACUGAUCACACCUUUUGCCUUUUUAUGUGUCAUCAUUUUCCAUGCUUCUCCCAACUUAAGAAUGUCUAUAAUAGAAAAUUUUAAAAUAUAGUUAACAGUGCCGGGGAUUUAGCUCAGUGGUUCCACUGCCUGUCUUGCAAGCACCAGGACCUGAGUUCAAUCCCCGGUACCAAAAAAUAAAAAAUGUAUAUAGUUAACAGUUGUGUACUGCCAUUUGUAUACAGUAGUUUUUAGCAUUUUGUCCUCUGCAUAUCGCUCUCAAUAGCAACUUUUUCCUUCCUUCUCUUCCUCCCACCUUCCCUUUUUUCUUUUUUGUGGCCUUUGACUCAUGAAUGCUGCAUUUUGCAAGCAUCUCCUAAAAAUAAACACAUCUUCUGAAGUAUAUCAUACUUAAGGGUAAAAAAAAAUCCCUAAUAUCUAAAUUCAAGUAUUUCCAUUUGUUCCUUCAAAAGGUCGGUUUGUACUACAACCAGCCACUGUGAUCUUUUACCUUACUUCUCUAGUUCUUGUGAAGGUAUUAAAUCUGUGGACAGUUCACAGUGAUGUUUCUGCAGUGGGCUGUAGGGGAAUGUAGAUGUGCAGUCACUGGAGAGUCCUAUUCUUCCAUGUUGUCCUGCUCUUUUUCCAGCAAAAAGUCAGUCUAUGACUGGUUUUCUCUAUCCAGGAUUCAGUCAGUUAAUGCAUUGUGUUUGUUGUUGGUUUAGUCACUUUUAAUUAACAUACUACAAUUGUCCCUACCUCUGCUUUUCCCCCUCAUGGUAUUAGCUUCUUUAAAAGACCCGCUAGUUGUCUUAUAGAAUGUUCCCACACUUGUGCUUGCUUCAGCAGCACAUAUACUAGAAUGUUCCCACAUUUUAGAUUUGUGUGAUGAUUUACUUGUGGUGUUUAACUUGUAGUAUCUCUAGGCACUUUGUACCCUAAAAGCAGAUUGACUUUAAAGGCUGAGUUAUGUUCAAGAAUUUUUGGCUUAAGUGUUCUUCUGUACAUUUAUUGAUACAUAAAUACAAGACAUGAAGUUGUCUCUCAAAGGAUGAUCAUUUGGUUAAGUGGUAUUCACCAGAUCUAUCCAUUAUAAGGUGGGUUUUUCCUCCUUGUAAUUAGCAGUUGAUCAGUGAGGUGACAUUUUGGUUCCUUUUAUAAUAAAUCCUUUCUCAGCACCCUUUAACCUGUAUUUCUAGCAUUCAUUGAUUAGCUUUGUCUGAAUCGUUUAUUUCAUUUGGGCUUGCAAAACAUUCCUUUUUCUAACCCUAUUUUUUUAGGAUAUUAUAGCCAACUUUCCUUUGUUAAAAAGACCUUUCCUUUGUCAGCUAGAAUUGAACUACAGUGCUUCCUGACAAGAUAGGUUAAAUGCUUAUAGCCAUUUAAAAUGCUAGGUCUUUAUUCUGAGUAUUGGUUACUAGUCACCUUCAAUAGUGGCAGAUAACUUUCUCAAUAUUAUAGAAAUAUAUUUUUCAUUGUUCUAUCGUUUCAGUUGCUAUUCUUUUUUUUUUCCUUGAAAAGCAGGUUUGGUUUUUAGAAGUUUUAGAUUUAUAGAAAAAUUGAGGCCUAUCAUAUAACAUUUCCUGUAUACCUCAUACCCAGCAUCUCCUAUUAGCAUCUUAAUAUGGCACAUUUGUUACUGUUGGUGAAUUUUAGUCAUUCAUUAUUAUUAACUAAAGCCAACAGUGUUUUCAGUUUUCCUUAGCUUUUACCUAGUAUCUUUUUUUUUUUUUUUUUUUUUUUGCAACAUUAUCUCAUCCAGGAUACCACAGUAUAGUUUUCAUGUUUCCUUUGGAUUUAUUACCUUAAUUUCUCAGACAAUCCGUUUUGGUGACAGUAAUUUAGGUAUUUUGUUGAAUACCCUUUUACUGGACUUCGGUAUUUUUUUCUCAUUUUUAGACUGGGCUUUUAAGUUCUGAGAAGGAAGAUCACAUAAGUAAGGUGACCAUUUUCAUCACAUCAUGUCAAGAGUAAAUAUUAACUCUUGAUCACUUGGCUAGAUCACUUGAUCACGUGGCUAGGGUAAUGUUUAGGAAGUUGACUGAUGUCUUAAUUUUACAUGAAUAUUCAAUUCUUUCAUCCAAAUUUCAAGCAGAUUUACUACAUAGGAUCUUACAAGAGCCACUGAGGCUGAGUAAUCUAUACAAGAGCAACUGAGGCUUUCUGUUGAUGCUUGUAUUUCACAUCUCUCCUUAUUUCAGAAACAUUUUCCUGCUCAAUUUAUGUAUAUAGAGCCAAACUCUUCUGUGAAAACCCUGCAAGUGAUUUGUACCUAACGGUUUCGCUGUUGAGAGAUAGUUGAAUGUCACACUGCUGUAUCUUUUUAAGAAGUUUGAAAAUUGAGUAUGCAGUAUUCUGGAUUACCUUAUUUGGCCUUUCUGUACAAUUAUUUCAUCAUUUUUUAAAAAUGUUUGAACUUUAGCUUUAUGGUUUUUUGUAUGUUUCUAUAAUACAAAUAUUCUUCUAACAACCUUUAUGUAAAUACUAUUAUUCUCCUUCUAUUAAAGUGAGAAACUUACGGAGGGUGAAGUUAAGUUGCCCAAGAUCAUACACUUUAUGAGUGGUGGUCCAGAGUCUGAAUUCAGACCUCAGGCUCCUCUUCUCUUUUGGUUAAGUAGGAGAGUCGUCUGUGAUUCCUUAUCAUGUUUUCCUUUUUCUGUAGAUUCAUUACAGUCAGUAUAAUGGGUGUCACUCCUGUUAGCAGAUGCCUUAGUGCGGCAUUGGAAGCACCAAGUAUGUAAGCAUUAGUUUUUUGAGAUUCCUAAUGGAGAAAUUUAGAACCUUGUAUUUCAAUACUUUGAUUUAGUAGCCUUUUGCUGUAACUCUUUUUGGUGAAGAGACAGACAUUUUCAUGAAUAAUGGUAAUGUUUAAAGAGAGUGAGCCACACCCCCACGCUCCUACCCCCAGUAUUGUAAUCGAACCCAGUACCUUUGCACUGAGUUACAUCCCCAGGCCUGUUUUAUUUUUUGAGACAGGGUCUGAAUUGCCAAGGUUGGACUCAAACUUGCAGUCCUCCUGCCUCAACUUCCCAGAGUAAUGGUACUACAGGUGUGUGCCUUCAUCUCUGGCUGAGGUCUUUCUUUUUAAAAGUUUGUUAGAUUCAUUUAAAGUAUGAAUUUUAAAGUAUUAUAUUUGUGAUGAUAUAAGAUUAAAUGAUAAUAAGUAAAAGCAAUGACAUAAAGAGUACUAAACGUAUUUCAUUGGUGCAUAUAGUUACUGCUGGCACUGUAGAAUUAUUAUUUUAUGGAAAGAAUAUAUUUCACCAGUAGUCUUACAGCAAACUUUUUAGAGCUUUCAGAUACAAAUAGCCUGCUGCUGCAUGUAUGCUAUAGGUUCGCCACCAGUGUCCUAGAGUUUUGGAUCAGAUUUCUGUAUUUCAAUUUUUUGAUAUGUUAACAUGGUGUCCAAUGCCUCCUCCUUUCUGGUUUUUGUCCUUGUUCUCUGCCUUGUAGCAGUUAGUAAAGCCUUCUAGGUCCCUCAUAUCAUAGCAUGUUGCACACCCCCCCGUUUUACUCCCCCCUCAUUAAGUUUAUUUGUUCAUUUUAGGUAUAAAAUAGUUACAUUCAUCAUUGGGAUCUUGUACCAUUACAUGAGUAUCUUGGUUCUUAUUUUCUUCCCCUUCUGUUGCCCUCCUUUCACCCCCUCCACCCUUCCCUAUUUACAAAGACUUUGUUUCCAUUUUUUUCCUUUUCUCAUAUUUUUUCUUUUCCCUUCUUUCCUUUCCCCUACCCCUCCCACUUCCCCUGCUCCUUUAGACCUUUACUUCCUAUUACACAAUAUCAAUUAUGCAUUUUUAAAAUUACAAUAUCAAGAUCUAGGAGACAUUACCACAGAUUUUACAGAAUUUAAAAGGAUAUAGAAAGCAUAUUACAAAAAUCUGUUUUGAAAUAAAUUGGACAACUUCUAAGAAGUACCUUGGAAGACAAAUUAAUGAAACUCUGGAGGAAAUAUAAAAUUUGAAUAGCACCUAUUAAAGUAUAUUCCUAGCUUGAAAACCUACCUAUAUGACAACAGCAGGCUCAUAUACAUUUUAACUGAUAAAUUAUAUCAAACAUUUAAAGCAGAAAAAGAGAGGAACACUUCUCCCCUCAUUUUAGGAACUCAACAUUGUGCUAAUCCUAAAACUGGAUAAAGAUAAUAGAAGAAAAAAGUAUGAACAUAGAUAGAAAUUUGUUUAACAAAACAAACUAUUAGAAGUCAGAUCCGGCAGGAUGUAGAAAGUGGUUUUAUUAUAAGGAUGGCAGUGUUGGUUCAGCAUUGGAAGAUCCACCCCCAAAAGUCAUCAUUUUAACAGAGGAGAGGAAAAAGCCAUAUGAUCCUAUCACUAGUUGGAGAGAAAGUAUUGGACUAAAUUCUACAGCUGUCCAUGGUGAAAGCUAUCAGGAGACUAGAAGUAGAACAGAGCCUUCUCAACAGAUCAAAGAUACGUACUCCAUACUUCCAGCAAAAACACCUUAUAUGAAUGGAAAACAUACAAUGCUUUCUCCCUAAGGUGAGGAACAAGGACAGAUAUGGCUACUCUUCAUCUGUCCAUUAAACUUUGAAACAUAGGCCUAAACCAAAAUAGUCUGGCAAUAAAAUGACACAAUUAGGAUAGGAUUGGUUCUCCUCCUCCUGCGCACUGGGAUUGGCUCACAUCCUCUGCCCUAGGAGCGGUGGAAUGGUGGCAGGGAGCCUCCUCCUGGGCACUGGGAUUGGCUCACCUCCUCUGCCCCAGGAGUGGUGGAAUGGUGCCUUGUUUUACUUUUUAAAACAAGGUCUUGCUGUGUAGGUUGGCAGGCUUUGAGCCAAUGAUCUUCCUGCCUCAGCCUCCUUUAGAAAAAAUGAAGGCAAAUACAUAUAAAUAUUGGGGGGGAUAAAAUGAUCAAAAAUCCCCAUAAUAUAACUAUAAUAUUUUUGUAUGUUUCUUUCUUUAUACUUUGAGUGUGUGUAAGAGAGAACAUCUUUAUGUGCAUGGAUACAUAGUUACAUAUUCAUGUUUAUAAGGAUCCAACAGUCAUAUUAGCAUACAUUAAUUGGGGGCUAGAGUAGUAAUACCUGGUUUGAUUUGAUUAGCAAUAAAGUCUAAAAGAAAACAGACUUCCUGCCUGGCUGUGGUGGUGUGUGCCUAUAAUCGUAGAACUUUGGGAACUUUGGGAAGCUGACAUAAAAGGAUCACAAGUUUCCGCCUAGCCUGGGCAUCAGCAAGACCUUGACUCAAAAUAAAAAGUAAAAAGAACAUAGUUCAACACAAAGACCUUGGGUUCAAUUCUCAGUACCACCACCACCACCAAAAAAAAAAAAAAAAGUUGCUUAAAAGAAAUGGGUGACCUUGGUUGGCAGUGAGAAUUUUUAUAAAGUAAGAGAUUUGGCAACAUUAAUUUUUGUAGCUUGUCAUCUACUAAGGCUUGUUAUCAUCUCUUAAUUCUAACAUGAGAAAAUACAGGAAGGGAUUUCAGGGAUAGUGUGAAGUCAGAACUGUUUUCAUAGUAAUACUAAGGUUAUUUGUCUUUUUUAUGUCUGUUUCAAGAGUUUUCAGGAGGUCAUGUGACCUGACCUGUGGUGUGGCAACACACACAAUGCAGAAGCAAGUAAUGGAACCCAGCUGUCUGAAAUUAUUUGCAAUAAUGUAAAACACUGGCACUUUCUUCACUAGAUUUUUUACAAAAAAGUUACCAUCUAUCAAAAUGCUAAAAUGUGAUGGAUUAUUAUUUUAAAAUAGAUUUUUAUUAAGUGCUCAUUUGUCAUAGCUAGCAUAGUAAAUAUUGAUAGGUAUAAACAACAUAAAUAAAAAUUUUCUGAUAAGAAAGUUCUCUCCAGAAUUUUAAAGAGUGUAAAAUACUGGUUCAGUGAGGUCUGCAGAGUAUUUCUCGAUCUCACCAUUGUCAUAGUGUCUGAGAACUCAUAGGCCACCAGGAAGCUUCAUCAGUGUCAGGUAUUUGAGGGCCAAGAUUUAGACAGUUCACAUUUGGGUAGGAGUAUCAAUAAAAUUGUUAAAUUUCUAGCCAUACUGAUAAAGUUUAAAAAAAAACCCAUAGAUGAUUGAUACUGAAUGAAACAGGAUAUGGGAAUGUAUCCUGCCAAUAUCAAAAGAAUAAAGUUAUAUUAUAAACGACUGUGUAUUACCUAAGCUACUGAAAUGAAAUGGAUACAUUGACAAACACAAGAAGAAAGCUGUGUGUAUUUAUUUAAAAAAUUGAAUUUGUAAGAAAAAGCCUUCCCAUAGGGCCUAUUUCAUUAUAAGGAAAUACUGAUUUUAUAGGGUCACUAUCCCUAAAGCAGCUAUUCUUAAAUCUUUUACUCUUGGACUAUCUGUAUUUAUUCUUAAUAAACACUGAGAACCUAAAAGAUUCUUUGUUUAGGCUACAGCUAUUGACAUUUACCUUAUUAGAAAUUAGAACUUUAAGCCAGACAAUGUGGUGUAUAACUGUAAUCCUAGCACUUGGGAGGCUGAGGCAGGAGAGUUGUGAGUUAGAGCCUGGGCUACAUGGCAAGAUCUUGUCUCCAAAAGGAAAAGGAAAAAAAGGAGAAGGAUUUAGAACUUUAAAAAAUAUUUGUCAACUAAUUCAUUUAUGAGAUAAUAAAUUUAACAUGAGUGUUUUUAUAAAAAUAACUAUUUCCCACAAGAAGAAAACAGUCUGUUGUGAUGUCACAGAUCAUUAAACCCCUAGAAGACUCAGCUGUAGUCUUGUAACAGGAUGAGUGGAAAAAGCAAGUGGCGGACAUUUCUGAGGUCAACACUUUUGUCUUUUAGCGCUUUAGAGUUGUAGGUUUUACUUUGCUGUCUACUCCCAAAAUACUGUGCCUAUGAGCCCCUGCUGAGCCACCUCCAUGAUCAUCUCCCUCCAGCUGCCAACAAGAUAAUCUGCUGGAACACAUCCUGCCCCAUAAAAUAGGCACUGGUGUUUACAGGAUCAGAGGCAGUGGACAAGCUGUGUCUGAGGUGGAGAGUUAGAUGCUCAGGAGGACAGAGUGUGACACUAUGCCUCACUGGUGGAAGUGCCUCUGCUGAAGGCUGAGGGCUAAAGUCCUGAAAGCACAGAAAUCAUUAGUAUUGUUCUUGUCUGGAAACAAACUUCACAAAAGAAGUUUAAGAAGCCCAUAAAAGAUUUCAUGGAAUUAAAGGCAAACUUAAAGAACAGAGGCCAGAGUAAAACUUUUUGACAGGAGCUGCAGAACAAACAAGCUAAUUUCAGAAACUCCUGGAUAUUUAUUGGUGAAUCAUGAAUCCAGAUGGCAUGGCUGUCCUCCUGGAUGACUGUAAGGAUGGUUUGACCCCAUAUAUGAUUUUCUUUAAGAAUAGUUUAUAAAUGGAUCUUUCACCUGUCAUAACUGGCUACUGCUUGUCAUCCAGGUGGAGGUAGGACUUAAGACAAAUGGAACUGAUGUCACCUUGAGCUUUUUAUUUAUUCUGACCUGAUUUAUUAGGAGUGGAAACAUGGUUUAGAAAAGUAAACAUAUUUAAGCUGGGCAUGGUGGCGCACACCUGUAAUCCCAGUACUUGGGAGGCUGAGGCCGGAGGAGUGCAGCAGGUUCCAGGCCAGCCUGGGCUACGUAGUGAGACCCUGUCUCAAACGAAAGAAAGAGAAAGGGAGGGAGGAAGGAAAAAACAUAUUUAACAUCUAGGUUUUUGAAACAUACAAUGCAUUUAACUUAAACAGUUGUAGCUUCCUUAUCACUGACUUGGCUAGUUGCAGAUGAGAAAAGUGCACUGAUUUUUUUCUUGUUUUUGAAUAAGUUCUAGGAAUUAUUCAUUCUCUGUCUCCCAGGCAUUUGUUUUUAGCCUCAGACUUGGGAAGUUAUGUCUUAGGCAUUUUUAAAAAAAGUUUUAUUUAUUUUUUAUUUUUUAUUUUUGUUAAAUUCUUUUAUUGGUACAUUUUAGGUAUACAACACAAUUACAUUUCUCAUUGGGAAUUGUACCUUUACAUAAUGCAUCUUGGUUCUUAUUUUUUCCCCAUUCCUAUCCCUCCCUUCCCUAUUUACAAAGACUUUAUUUCCAUUUUUUCCAUUUCUCAGCAUUUUUCCUUUCCCUUCUUUCCUUUCCCCUGCCAGUCCCACUACCCCUACCCCUUUGGACCUUUUCUUCCUAUUUUGCAUUAUCAAUUAUUCAUUCUAAUUAUUGGUACAUUUUAGGUAUACAAUAUGAUGACAUUUAUCAUUGGAAAUU